Molecule: ribosomal RNA, 272 nt
Filed under: uncultured bacterium
Lineage: Bacteria
Description: partial 16S ribosomal RNA
Rfam family: Bacterial small subunit ribosomal RNA
Source: RNAcentral
AAUCAACGCUGGCGGCGUGCCUCAGACAUGCAAGUCGAACGCGAAAGUUUCCUUCGGGGAACAAGUAGAGUGGCGCACGGGUGAGUAACACGUAGGUAAUCUACCUUUGGAUGGGGGAUAACAACCGGAAACGGUUGCUAAUACCGCAUAAUGCAGCGGCACCUAAUGGUGACAGUUGUUAAAGCGGGGGAUCGAAAGACCUCGCGUCUGAAGAGGAGCCUGCGGCGGAUUAGCUAGNGGUAAGGUAAUGGCUUACCAAGGCGACGAUCCGU